CAUUAGUACUGACAGGAAUGGUAAGCUACAAUAAAUUGAAUGUUGGAGACCCAUUGGCUUUUGUAUUUGAUCAAUUGCAUUUAAAAUGGAUGUCGGGAAUUAUU
This 104-nucleotide small RNA is filed under the name Flavobacterium sp. 1. Its description in RNAcentral is "Flavo-1 RNA". Lineage: Bacteria; Pseudomonadati; Bacteroidota; Flavobacteriia; Flavobacteriales; Flavobacteriaceae. The record is from RNAcentral.